UACGGAGGAUGCGAGCGUUAUCCGGAUUUAUUGGGUUUAAAGGGAGCGCAGACGGGUCGUUAAGUCAGCUGUGAAAGUUUGGGGCUUAACCUUAAAAUUGCAGUUGAUACUGGCGUCCUUGAGUGCGGUUGAGGUGUGCGGAAUUCGUGGUGUAGCGGUGAAAUGCUUAGAUAUCACGAAGAACUCCGAUUGCGAAGGCAGCACACUAAUCCGUAACUGACGUUCAUGCUCGAAAGUGUGGGUAUCAAACAGG
This 253-nucleotide ribosomal RNA is filed under the name Phocaeicola plebeius DSM 17135. RNAcentral describes it as "partial 16S ribosomal RNA". It matches the Rfam family "Bacterial small subunit ribosomal RNA", at positions 524 to 776 of the family's 1533-position model. The record is from RNAcentral. Lineage: Bacteria; Pseudomonadati; Bacteroidota; Bacteroidia; Bacteroidales; Bacteroidaceae.